Molecule: ribosomal RNA, 465 nt
Filed under: uncultured bacterium
Lineage: Bacteria
Description: partial 16S ribosomal RNA
Rfam family: Bacterial small subunit ribosomal RNA
Source: RNAcentral
CUACGGGGGGCAGCAGUGAGGAAUUUUGCGCAAUGGGGGAAACCCUGACGCAGCAACGCCGCGUGAGUGAUGAAGGCCUUCGGGUCGUAAAGCUCUGUCAAGUGGGAAGAACCCACCCUGUGCUAAUAUCACAGGGUGCUGACGGUACCACUGAAGGAAGCACCGGCUAACUCCGUGCCAGCAGCCGCGGUAAUACGGAGGGUACAAGCGUUAUUCGGAAUUACUGGGCGUAAAGGGCGCGUAGGCGGCCUUUUAAGUCAGAUGUGAAAUCCCGGGGCUCAACCCCGGAAGUGCAGCUGAAACUAAGAGGCUUGAGUAUGGGAGAGGGAAGUGGAAUUCCUGGUGUAGAGGUGAAAUUCGUAGAUAUCAGGAGGAACACCGGUGGCGAAGGCGACUUCCUGGACCAAUACUGACGCUGAGGCGCGAAGGCGUGGGGAGCAAACAGGAUUAGAUACCCUAGUAGUC